RNAcentral lists this long non-coding RNA (866 nucleotides) under Carica papaya (papaya). Its description in RNAcentral is "long non-coding RNA (CPAP_LNC002026)". The record is from RNAcentral. Lineage: Eukaryota; Viridiplantae; Streptophyta; Magnoliopsida; Brassicales; Caricaceae.
AUCAAUUUACAUUAUAUUUUACAACCACUUAUAAUUGAUUACAUUAUAUUUCCUAAAUUACAAUUAGUACAUGACACGACUAAAUAGUUGAAAUUACUUUAUGGCACAUAAUUAGAUUGACCAUUAUCACAAUCCAUAGGUAUAUACGCAUAUAUAUAUAUAUAUAUAUCAAACAUUUCAGACGUACCUACGUAGAAUAAUUAUUUCACAGAUAAUUAAUAAUAAUGGAUAUAUAUAUAAUCUAUAAAGAGUAUUGACUUGAGAGAUGAUGGAUCUAGUCUUGGCCCUGACUUGAAGGUCCGAUAGAGUGACCAACACCGGGACUAUGCCCAGGAGUGGUUGGGCGGAGGUCGUCGGUCUCAGCGGCAACGUAGGGCGCAUCGGGUGCAUGUAUUGUUCGUGGGAAGGUUGCAGCUGCUUGUCCACCCACAGCUUUGUGGCGCAAGUUUACAUGAUUAAGCUCGCCACCUUCCUUCAAAAGAGGUCUGCUUGCCUCUGUCAACACAAUUAAUCCAUAAGAAACAAUUAUCAUUAUGACAAAAAUACCAGUUAAAAUGAGCUUCUUCAAGCUAGCCAUCUGUUACUAGAUGUUAUAUUUUAUGUAAGUAAAUAUAUAUGUGUUUAUGAGUGUGUUUGUAUAUGAGAGAGAGAGAGAGAGAGAGAAAGGGAAGGAGAAGAAAAAGAAGAAGAAGUUAAUUCAGUGCUUGCUAAGUAAGUAAAGAGGGAUGUGUUUGAAAGGUGGUGUGCCUGGGUAUUUAUAGAGCAGCAAUGCAUGAACAUAAACCAUUUCAAAUGCUUUUGAAAUCAUUUUGUCUCCUCAAUUUUUCUAUGGAGACAACUGUUGGUUAUUACACUUGGAACACAUU